Molecule: ribosomal RNA, 301 nt
Filed under: uncultured bacterium
Lineage: Bacteria
Description: partial 16S ribosomal RNA
Rfam family: Bacterial small subunit ribosomal RNA
Source: RNAcentral
CAGCCGCCGCGGGAAUACGAAGGGGGCUAGCGUUGUUCGGAUUUACUGGGCGUAAAGCGCACGUAGGCGGACUUUUAAGUCAGGGGUGAAAUCCCGGGGCUCAACCCCGGAACUGCCUUUGAUACUGGAAGUCUUGAGUAUGGUAGAGGUGAGUGGAAUUCCGAGUGUAGAGGUGAAAUUCGUAGAUAUUCGGAGGAACACCAGUUGCGAAGGCGGCUCACUGGACCAUUACUGACGCUGAGGUGCGAAAGCGUGGGGAGCAAACAGGAUUAGAUACCCCAGUAGUCCUGUCUCUUAUACA